Molecule: ribosomal RNA, 404 nt
Filed under: uncultured bacterium
Lineage: Bacteria
Description: bacterial SSU rRNA
Rfam family: Bacterial small subunit ribosomal RNA
Source: RNAcentral
CGGGCUUGAAAUGCAUCUGACCGAUUGGGAAACCGAUCUUCUAGCAAUAGCAGAUGCGUAGGUGCUGCAUGGUUGUCGUCAGCUCGUGCCGUGAGGUGUCGGCUUAAGUGCCAUAACGAGCGCAACCCACAUUGUUAGUUACUAACAGGUCAAGCUGAGGACUCUGACAAGACUGCCAGCGUAAGCUGCGAGGAAGGUGUGGAUGACGUCAAAUCAGCACGGCCCUUACGUCCGGGGCGACACACGUGUUACAAUGGGGGGUACAGAGGGUUGCUACUUGGUGACAAGAUGCUAAUCUCGAAAGCCUCUCCCAGUUCGGAUUGGAGUCUGCAACUCGACUCCAUGAAGCUGGAUUCGCUAGUAAUCGCGCAUCAGCCAUGGCGCGGUGAAUACGUUCCCGGGCC